CCAUUGGAGAGUUUGAUCCUGGCUCAGGACGAACGCUGGCGGCGUGCUUAACACAUGCAAGUCGUGCGCGAAAGCGGCUUCGGCCGCUGGAGAGCGGCGAACGGGUGAGUAACACGUGGAU
This 121-nucleotide ribosomal RNA is filed under the name Gemmatimonadota bacterium. RNAcentral describes it as "Gemmatimonadetes bacterium (activated sludge metagenome) partial 16S ribosomal RNA". It matches the Rfam family "Bacterial small subunit ribosomal RNA", at positions 1 to 122 of the family's 1533-position model. The record is from RNAcentral. Lineage: Bacteria; Pseudomonadati; Gemmatimonadota.